Molecule: ribosomal RNA, 840 nt
Filed under: uncultured Glomus
Lineage: Eukaryota; Fungi; Glomeromycota; Glomeromycetes; Glomerales; Glomeraceae
Description: bacterial SSU rRNA
Rfam family: Eukaryotic small subunit ribosomal RNA (bases 1-711)
Source: RNAcentral
GGGGCACAGCGGUUUAUCUGUCUACACACCGGCUCAGUGGGGCUAAGGGUUCGUAUCCGGAGAGGGAGCCUGAGAAAGGACUACCACAUCCAAGGAAGGCAGCAGGCGCGCAAAUUACCCAAUCCCAACACGGGGAGGUAGUGACAAUAUGUAACAAUAUACGGCCUUAUACGUCGUAUAAUUGGAAUGAGUACAAUUUAAAUCCCUUAACGAGGAACAAUUGGAGGGCAAGUCUGGUGCCAGCAGCCGCGGUAAUUCCAGCUCCAAUAGCGUAUAUUAAAGUUGUUGCAGUUAAAAAGCUCGUAGUUGGACCUUGGACCUGGACAGGCGGUCCGCCUCACGGCGAGUACUGUCUUGCUGGGUCUUUCCUCUUGGUGAUCUGUUGUUUCGGCAGCAGGGAACCAGGACCUUUACUUUGAAAAAAUUAGAGUGUUCAAAGCAGGCUCGACGCCGGAAUAUAUUAGCAUGGAAUAAUAAAAUAGGACGUGCGGUUCUAUUUUGUUGGUUUUUGGAAUCGCCGUAAUGAUUAAUAGGGACAGUCGGGGGCAUUAGUGCUCACAAUGCUAGAGGUGAAAUUCUUUGGAUUUUUGUGAAAGACCAACUUCUGCGAAAAGCAUUUUGCCCAAGGAUGUUUUUCAUUUAGGUCUAGGAAACGAUAGGGUGCGGGGUGGCCCGAACACCCACUUGGGAUAUGCGUUUGGUAGUUCUUAAAAGGUGCACCUUUUUGCGCGAACCAUGAGAGCUCAGAUCGAGCGCUUUUUCCUCUUUUUGAAACCCCACUGGGUGAGCCCCCCUCUGGGGGGAACCACAACAGGUGAUGUGUUGGGAUAAAAACAAAAG